CCAAGCUACGAAGAGCCAACGGUGGAUGCCUUGGCGCCUGAAGCCGAAGAAGGACGUGGGUGGCUGCGAAAAGCCACGGGGAGCUGUCGACCAAGCUUUGAUCCGUGGAUGUCCGAAUGGGGAAACCCGGCACCCGUCAUGGGGUGUCACUCCGGCCUGAACACAUAGGGCCGGUAGAGGGAACCGGGGGAAUUGAAACAUCUCAGUACCCCGAGGAGAGGAAAGCAACAGCGACUCCCUUAGUAGCGGCGAGCGAAAGGGAACGAGCCUAAACCGAGCCAGUGGAAUAGUCUGGUGGCGUUGCCGUGUCGGUGUCGUGGGACCUGCGUGAAGGGGCAUCAGACCCUUCAAGGAGUUACAAAUCUCUGACCUAGUGGAAGUGUUCUGGAAAGGCACUCCGCAGAGGGUAAGAGACCCGUACACGAAAGGUUGGAGACUCCUGCCGGGAUCCCGAGUAGCGCCGGAACCGGGAAAGCCGGCGUGAAUCUGCGAGGACCACCUCGUAAGGCUAAGUACUAGCAGGCGACCGAUAGUGAACUAGUACCGUGAGGGAAAGGUGAAAAGCACCCCGGGAGGGGAGUGAAAUAGUACCUGAAACCGUUAACUUACAAACAGUCAGAGCGUUGUUGACCCUGUCACUUCGGUGACAGGAUGUCAAGCGUGAUGGCGUGCCUUUUGAAGAAUGAGCCAGCGAGUUACCGUGCGUGGCGAGGUUAACCUGAGAAGGGGAGCCGUAGCGAAAGCGAGUCUGAAAUGGGCGAUUUAGUCGCGUGCGGUAGACCCGAAGCCGAGUGAUCUAGCCAUGGGCAGGCUGAAGCGAGGGUAAGACCUCGUGAAGGGCCGAACCCACCCUGGUUGAAAACAGGGGGGAUGACCUGUGGCUAGGGGUGAAAGGCCAAUCAAACUCGGUGAUAGCUGGUUCUCCCCGAAAUGCAUUUAGGUGCAGCGUCAGACGUUCAGCAUCGGAGGUAGAGCACUGAAUGGGCUAGGGGGCCCCACAAGCUUACUGACCCCAAUCAAACUCCGAAUGCCGAUGCUCAAGAGUCUGGCAGUGAGACCACGAGGGAUGAGCUUCGUUGGUCGAGAGGGAAACAGCCCAGACCGCCAGCUAAGGCCCCAAAUUCUUGGCUAAGUGGAAAACGAUGUGGGAACGCAGAGACAGCCAGGAGGUUGGCUUAGAAGCAGCCAUCCUUAAAAGAGUGCGUAAUAGCUCACUGGUCGAGUGGUCCUGCGCGGACAAUGUAACGGGGCUCAAGCCAAGAGCCGAAGCUGCGGAUUUCCAGCCUACCGUUUGUUCGCUGAGAGACGAGCAGUUGCGUUCGGUCACCUAUGGUGAUUGGAUGCAACUGGGAGUCAAACAGUGAUAUUGCGGGUUUGGGCUGGGAGUGGUAGGGGAGCGUCGAUCAUGCAGCGAAGCGGUGGCGUAAGCCAACGUGGAGUAUGGUCGAGUGAGAAUGCUGGCAUGAGUAGCGAGAGAGGGGUGAGAAACCCCUCCGCCGAAAGCCCAAGGGUUCCUGGGGAAGGCUAAUCCGCCCAGGGUCAGUCGGGAGCUAAGGCGAGGCCGAGAGGCGUAGUCGAUGCACAACUGGUUGAUAUUCCAGUACCAUCGUGCCCGCGCCCAAGCUUAUGGAGUCGCCGAAAGUGAUCAAGUCGGUUGCUUUCGGUGGAUUCUGUGAGCUAGCGAUGGGGGGACGCAGGAGGGUAGGUGAUCCCAGGUGUUGGUUGUCCUGGGGGAAACGUGUAGGGUGAGGUCCGGUAAAUACAGACCUCGUGUGCCUGAGACGUGAUCCCGAGCCGCUUCAGGUGAAGUCAUUGAUCCCAAGCUGCCAAGAAAAGCCCCUAGCGAGCUGGCACGGUGCCCGUACCCCAAACCGACACAGGUGGGCAGGUAGAGAAUACCAAGGCGAGCGGGAGAACUGUGGUUAAGGAACUCGGCAAAAUACCUCCGUAACUUCGGGAGAAGGAGGGCCUCGAUAGGGUGACGGACCAUGCGUCCUGAGCUCGAGGGGGUCGCAGAGACCAGGGGAAAGCGACUGUUUACUAAAAACACAGGAGCGUGCGAAGUCGUAAGACGAUGUAUACGCUCUGACGCCUGCCCGGUGCCGGAAGGUUACGGGGAGAGGUUAGCUUGUUCGCAAGCGAAGCUCUGAACCUAAGCCCCGGUAAACGGCGGCCGUAACUAUAACGGUCCUAAGGUAGCGAAAUUCCUUGUCGGGUAAGUUCCGACCUGCACGAAUGGCGUAACGACUUUCCUACUGUCUCAACCACAGACCCGGCGAAAUUGAAGUACGAGUAAAGAUGCUCGUUAGCUGCAUCAGGACGGAAAGACCCCGUGGACCUUUACUACAGCUUGAUGUUGAGUCUUGGCACGGAUUGUGUAGGAUAGGUGGGAGCCAGGGAAGCUCGGGCGCCAGCUCGGGUGGAGGCAACCUUGAAAUACCACCCUGUCCGUGCUGGGGUUCUAACCUCGGUCCGUGAUCCGGAUCAGGGACAGCGUCAGGUGGGUAGUUUGACUGGGGCGGUCGCCUCCUAAAAGGUAACGGAGGCGCCCAAAGGUUCCCUCAGGCUGGUUGGCCAUCAGCCGUCGAGUGCAAUGGCAUAAGGGAGCUUGACUGCGAGACCUACAAGUCGAGCAGGUGCGAAAGCAGGGCAUAGUGAUCCGGCGGUAGCGUGUGGAAGCGCCGUCGCUCAACGGAUAAAAGGUACCCCGGGGAUAACAGGCUCAUCUUCCCCAAGAGUCCAUAUCGACGGGAAGGUUUGGCACCUCGAUGUCGGCUCGUCGCAUCCUGGGGCUGAAGCCGGUCCCAAGGGUUGGGCUGUUCGCCCAUUAAAGCGGUACGCGAGCUGGGUUUAGAACGUCGUGAGACAGUUCGGUCCCUAUCCGAUGCAGCCGUAGGAGAUCUGAGGAAAGCUGUCCCUAGUACGAGAGGACCGGGACGGACGUAGCUCUUGUGUGCCAGUUGUCCUGCCAAGGGCACGGCUGGUUGGCAACCUACGGACGAGAUAAGCGCUGAAAGCAUCUAAGUGCGAAGCUCAUUCCAAGAUGAGAUCUCCCACAGGGUUAACCUGGUAAGGCCCGUGGCAGACUACCACGUUGAUAGGCCGGAGGUGUAAGUGCGGCAACGCACUCAGCCGACCGGUACUAAUCGGCCGAGGACUUGGGACA
RNAcentral lists this ribosomal RNA (3166 nucleotides) under mine drainage metagenome. Its description in RNAcentral is "bacterial LSU rRNA". It matches the Rfam family "Bacterial large subunit ribosomal RNA". The record is from RNAcentral.